This 485-nucleotide ribosomal RNA is filed under the name uncultured bacterium. Its description in RNAcentral is "bacterial SSU rRNA". It matches the Rfam family "Bacterial small subunit ribosomal RNA", at positions 1 to 503 of the family's 1533-position model. The record is from RNAcentral.
CCCUUAGAGUUUGAUCCUGGCUCAGGACGAACGCUGGCGGCGCGCCUAACACAUGCAAGUCGAACGAGAGAUGAGGAGCUUGCUCUUCAGAUCGAGUGGCGAACGGGUGAGUAACGCGUGAGGAACCUGCCUCAAAGAGGGGGACAACAGUUGGAAACGACUGCUAAUACCGCAUAAGCCCACGGCUCGGCAUCGAGCAAAGGGAAAAGGAGUGAUCCGCUUUGAGAUGGCCUCGCGUCCGAUUAGCUAGUUGGUGAGGUAAUGGCCCACCAAGGCGACGAUCGGUAGCCGGACUGAGAGGUUGAACGGCCACAUUGGGACUGAGACACGGCCCAGACUCCUACGGGAGGCAGCAGUGGGGAAUAUUGCACAAUGGGGGAAACCCUGAUGCAGCGACGCCGCGUGGAGGAAGAAGGUCUUCGGAUUGUAAACUCCUGUUGUGAGGAAGAUAAUGACGGUACUCAACAAGGAAGGACGGCUACUGG